CCAAUAGCGUAUAUUAAAGUUGUUGCAGUUAAAAAGCUCGUAGUUGAAUUUCGGGAUUAGUGCGCCGGUCGUGCCUUCGGUAUGUACUGGUGUUACUGGUUCCUACCUUCUGACGAACCGUCAUGUCAUUAAUUUGGUGUGGCGGGGAAUCAGGACUGUUACUUUGAAAAAAUUAGAGUGUUUAAAGCAGGCUCGCGCUUGAAUACAUUAGCAUGGAAUAAUGAAAUAGGACGUUCGAUCCUAUUUUGUUGGUUUCUAGGAUUGACGUAAUGAUUAAUAGGGAUAGUUGGGGGCAUUAGUAUUCAAUUGUCAGAGGUGAAAUUCUUGGAUUUAUUGAAGACUAACUACUGCGAAAGCAUUUGCCAAGGAUGUUUUCAUUAAUCAAGAACGAAAGUUAGGGGAUCGAAGACGAUCAGAUACCGUCGUAGUCUUAACCAUAAACUAUGCCGACUAGGGAUCGGAUGAUGUUAUUUUUAAUGACUCAUUCGGCGCCUUACG
This 498-nucleotide ribosomal RNA is filed under the name uncultured Glomeromycotina. RNAcentral describes it as "partial small subunit ribosomal RNA". It matches the Rfam family "Eukaryotic small subunit ribosomal RNA", at positions 591 to 1092 of the family's 1831-position model. Lineage: Eukaryota; Fungi; Glomeromycota. The record is from RNAcentral.